CAGAUCAAGAGCAUCUCAUCCUCCGGCUGCUGAGUCAUCCUGCUCUGGCAGUUAUUUAAACAGAAGGCUCCAGGAGACAUACAAUCAACACUCCACUCAGACAAUGCCCAGACCUCCAGAAACCAUGUGUCAAGCUCGGAUUGCCUUAGACAGGUGCAAUUUAAGAACAGCUUUCAUCCUCUUUUCUCUCAUAUUGUCACACUAUGUGUUCUGACUUCUGGCUCCUUUCCUCACAAGAAGCUCACCCAGCUGGAACUCUUAUGGGACCUUGGCACCAGAGACCACAAAUUCCUCUUUGAAGUUUUCUAACAGCAACAAUGGUAUUUCUGACUUGGCUUUCUUGUAUUUCUCUCACGUUAACAAAAUUGGUUCAGCAUCUACCAUGGGCUACAUGCUGAGCUACAGAGUUUCGCUCUGUCGCCCAGGCUGGAGUGCAGUGGCGCGCGAUCUCGGUUCACUGCAAGCUCCACCUCCCGGGUUCACGCCAUUCUCCUGCCUCAGCCUCCUGAGUAGCUGGGACUACAGGCGCCCGCCACCACACCCAGGAAUCCAACUUGCUGUUUGCUAUCACAUGUGCUAUACAUGCUGUUGAUGAAACUGCUAAAGGGGCUGAAUGUGACUGACGUCUUUGGAAGGAUGAGACUUAGCGUGCCUGUACAGUUGUGUCCAAAUGCUGUCCUCAUCUCCCAAUGAAAAGCUGAACUAGGGCCAUGCCUGGGACAGACAGAGAAUGGCCUUCCAGCAGACAUGCCAAGAAGCAAGCCAGGGUCAGUGAGUGAAGAGGAGGGCAGGCCCAUUUGAAGCAACACAGUUUAUGAACAAAACCCAUCAGAAGAUGUCAGAAGAUAAGGAUUUUUGUCCUGAUGCUACACUUACCAGCUGUCCCUCAGUGUUCUACUUCUUAAAAAAAGAGAGAUGGAUAAACAGAGGCAACCCGAGGAUAAAGGCCUUGCUCAGUGUCACACAUUUCAGUCACUAAAUAAGACACAAUGGAUGCCAGUAUUCUCAUCCCCUCACAAAUAAAGAGCCUUCAAGCUCUUGCAGUCAACAAGAACUUUUGGAAUGAUUUCACUGCCUGAAAAGGCAGAUACAUAGGUGACACCCACAAAUAGGAAGAAAAUCAACCUGAACCUGAGUGUGUGGGCUCACUGACUCUAAGCAGUAGAGACAGAAGAAAAAGUUUUAGCAAAGAAGGGUUCUGAAAGAAAAUAAAUAUAGCUCGUUAUCAAGUGCUGUUUUUACACAGUAAAACAUGGGCAAAAUUACUCUUCUUUAAGUAGUAAUUCUUAUCUCUUGAUUAAGUCACCUACUCAUUCAUUUAAUAAAUACAUACUGAUUGUUUUCUAUGUGUUGAGCACUCAUCUCUGUAUUGGAAAUAUAAUAAUGACCAAAGUUGACAAUAGUAAUAACAAUAAUAGCUAAUAUAGCAGGCACUAAUAAUUAUUUGUUGAGUAAUAUGUCAAAAUUCAGUGUGAACAGCAUUCUAUUUGGGGCUGCAUCCACUGACUAUAACACAGCUAAUCUAUCUGAAAUGUUCCAGCUUUGGGCCUCUCUAACAGAAGAAGCUGUUGUUGGGCCUGCCUCUAGUUGGCGAUGCAUCCACCAAUGAGAAUGAAUUUAUGAUCGACCACUCUUCCUGUAAAGGCCGCUGGAACUGACAGCAUUGUGAUUUUCUUUUACUGUUAGUUUUAAAUUACUAGAACCAACUCAAUUACUAGAACGAACUUUACUUCUUUGUUUCCUACUUAUCAAAACAGUAAAAACAACAAGUAAAAGAAAUGCCAUCUUAAUAUUGUUUUGAUGACAAAACAGUAUUCCUUUUAGUUGUGCUUCAAAUGGAAUAAGAUGCAAACAGGCUUGGUAUGGUGGCUCACCCCUGUAAUCCCAGCCCUUUGGGAGGCCAAGGUGGAAGGAUUGCUUGAGGCCAUGAGUUUGAGACCAGCCUGCGCAACAUAGCAAGACCGUGUCUCUACAAAAAAUAAAAAAUUAGCUGAGUGUAGUGGUGUGUGCUUGUGGUCCCAGCUACUUUUGAGGCUGAGGAGGGAGAAUCUCUUGAGCCCAGAAGGUCGAAGUUGCAGUGAGCCGUGAUCGUGCCAUUGCUCUCCAGCUUGGACAACAAAGCAAGACCCUAUGUCAAAAAAUAAAUAAAUAAAAGACAUAAACAUAUCUGAGAUUAACUUUCAGUGGUAAAUUUGUUCCAUAUAUGAUUUUUAAGGUUAAAUGCUUUGGAAGCUUUAAAAACCAUUUCAGCCCUUUUAAAUGCCAACUUACACUGAUGAUGCUCUCAGAUGUUAGGAAAUCUUUUGAGCAGAAAAUGGAAGUGGGGGUGUUGAGGCAGGGAGGAGAGUGAUGCAAUAUUCCUUAGUGUCAUCCUGUGAUUUCACAAUUUGUUUUUCAAUCUGUUUGGACUUUCAAAAGGGAAGACUCUCAUAUGUCAACAAGCCCAUGAACUGAAGCUUAAAACACUGGAAACAACAACUGUAGAGUUUCAAGUAUAUGUACAUUUAUGUAUUCAUGUUCCUUGAUGGGAAUGCUGGCUGGUGUGAAUGUUCAAUCUCCUGAGAAAUGUAAAUUUUUCUCUGACAGAUUUAUUAGCUUGCUGUAUCUGAGCACAUGAGCAAAAACAAUGCCUAAUAAGAAAACUUUCUCUCUCCUUCAAAGUCAAACUUGGGAGAAAUGAAGGGAAAUCGAGUUUUCUUUGCUUGACAGUGUUCAACAUUCUUGUAGUCAGUGUGCUCAUGAAGAUUGCAAACUUUUUUUUUUUUUUAGAGCAGCUAGGACUACAGGCGCGCACCACCACACCCAGCUAAUUUGUGUAUUUUUAGUAGAGAUGGGGUUUUAACUAUGUUGGCCAAGCUUGUCUCAAACUCCUGACCUCAAGUGAUCCAUUCGACAGCUCUUUCUUUUUUUUUUUUUUUUUUGAGACAAAGUCUCGCUCUGUCACCCAGGCUGGAGUGCAGUGGUAUGAUCUCAGCUCACUGCAACCUCCGCCUCCUGGGUUCAAGCAAUUCUCAUGCCUUAGCCUCCCGAAU
Molecule: long non-coding RNA, 3032 nt
Filed under: Homo sapiens (human)
Lineage: Eukaryota; Metazoa; Chordata; Mammalia; Primates; Hominidae
Description: HSALNT0091274
Source: RNAcentral